This 400-nucleotide ribosomal RNA is filed under the name uncultured bacterium. RNAcentral's name for it is "partial 16S ribosomal RNA". It matches the Rfam family "Bacterial small subunit ribosomal RNA", at positions 357 to 774 of the family's 1533-position model. The record is from RNAcentral.
GGGAAUCUUGCGCAAUGGGCGAAAGCCUGACGCAGCCAUGCCGCGUGAAUGAUGAAGNNNUUAGGNUUGUAAAAUUCUUUCACNGGGNACGAUAAUGACGGUACCCGGAGAAGAAGCCCCGGCUAACUUCGUGCCAGCAGCCGCGGUAAUACGAAGGGGGCUAGCGUUGCUCGGAAUUACUGGGCGUAAAGGGCGCGUAGGCGGAUCGUUAAGUCAGGGGUGAAAUCCCGGGGCUCAACCUCGGAACUGCCCUUGAUACUGGCGAUCUUGAGUAUGAGAGAGGUAUGUGGAACUCCGAGUGUAGAGGUGAAAUUCGUAGAUAUUCGGAAGAACACCAGUGGCGAAGGCGACAUACUGGCUCAUUACUGACGCUGAGGCGCGAAAGCGUGGGGAGCAAACA